UCCCUGGAGGACUAGUGGUUAGGCCACAGUGCUCUCACCGCUGUAGCCUGGGUUUGAUUCCCAGCCAGGGAA
RNAcentral lists this transfer RNA (72 nucleotides) under Pangasianodon hypophthalmus (striped catfish). It matches the Rfam family "tRNA". From Rfam's summary of the family: Transfer RNA (tRNA) molecules are approximately 80 nucleotides in length. Their secondary structure includes four short double-helical elements and three loops (D, anti-codon, and T loops). Lineage: Eukaryota; Metazoa; Chordata; Actinopteri; Siluriformes; Pangasiidae. The record is from Rfam by way of RNAcentral.